UACAGAGGGGGCAAGCGUUGUUCGGAAUUACUGGGCGUAAAGGGCGCGUAGGCGGCCGCCUAAGUCAGACGUGAAAUCCCUCGGCUUAACCGGGGAACUGCGUCUGAUACUGGAUGGCUUGAGUUUGGGAGAGGGAUGCGGAAUUCCAGGUGUAGCGGUGAAAUGCGUAGAUAUCUGGAGGAACACCGGUGGCGAAGGCGGCAUCCUGGACCAACACUGACACUGAGGAGCGAAAGCCAGGGGAGCAAACGGG
This 253-nucleotide ribosomal RNA is filed under the name uncultured bacterium. RNAcentral describes it as "partial 16S ribosomal RNA". It matches the Rfam family "Bacterial small subunit ribosomal RNA", at positions 524 to 776 of the family's 1533-position model. The record is from RNAcentral.